RNAcentral lists this ribosomal RNA (301 nucleotides) under uncultured bacterium. Its description in RNAcentral is "partial 16S ribosomal RNA". It matches the Rfam family "Bacterial small subunit ribosomal RNA", at positions 509 to 807 of the family's 1533-position model. The record is from RNAcentral.
CAGCCGCCGCGGGAAUACGUAGGUGGCAAGCGUUGUCCGGAAUUAUUGGGCGUAAAGGGCUCGCAGGCGGUUUCUUAAGUCUGAUGUGAAAGCCCCCGGCUCAACCGGGGAGGGUCAUUGGAAACUGGGAAACUUGAGUGCAGAAGAGGAGAGUGGAAUUCCACGUGUAGCGGUGAAAUGCGUAGAGAUGUGGAGGAACACCAGUGGCGAAGGCGACUCUCUGGUCUGUUACUGACGCUGAGGAGCGAAAGCGUGGGGAGCGAGCAGGAUUAGAUACCCCUGUAGUCCCUGUCUCUUAUAC